UACAGAGGGUGCGAGCGUUAAUCGGAAUUACUGGGCGUAAAGCGCGCGUAGGCGGCUUUGCAAGUCGAGUGUGAAAUCCCCAGGCUUAACCUGGGAACUGCAUUCGAGACUGCAUAGCUAGAGUAUGGGAGAGGGGAGUGGAAUUUCAGGUGUAGCGGUGAAAUGCGUAGAUAUCUGAAGGAACAUCAGUGGCGAAAGCGACUUCCUGGACCAAUACUGACGCUCAUGUGCGAAAGCGUGGGGAGCAAACAGG
RNAcentral lists this ribosomal RNA (253 nucleotides) under uncultured bacterium. RNAcentral's name for it is "partial 16S ribosomal RNA". It matches the Rfam family "Bacterial small subunit ribosomal RNA", at positions 524 to 776 of the family's 1533-position model. The record is from RNAcentral.